AAAUAGCAUUUAGGUUGCAGCGUCACGUGUUUCUUUGUCCGGAGGUAGAGCUACUGGAUGGCCGAUGGGCCCCGACCCGGGUUACGUGACGUCAGCCAAACUCCGAAUGCCGGUAAGUGAGAGCGUGGCAGUGAGACUGCGGGGGAUAAGCUCCGUAGUCGAGAGGGAAACAGCCCAGAUCACCAGGUCGACGCUGCACCUAAAUGCAUUU
This 211-nucleotide ribosomal RNA is filed under the name uncultured bacterium. RNAcentral's name for it is "partial 23S ribosomal RNA". It matches the Rfam family "Bacterial large subunit ribosomal RNA", at positions 862 to 1059 of the family's 2925-position model. The record is from RNAcentral.